CCUACGGGCGGCAGCAGUGAGGAAUAUUGGUCAAUGGACGAGAGUCUGAACCAGCCAAGUAGCGUGAAGGAUGACUGCCCUAUGGGUUGUAAACUUCUUUUAUAUGGGAAUAAAACGUUCCACGUGUGGGAUUUUGUAUGUACCAUAUGAAUAAGGAUCGGCUAACUCCGUGCCAGCAGCCGCGGUAAUACGGAGUAUCCGAGCGUUAUCCGGAUUUAUUGGGUUUAAAGGGAGCGUAGGUGGAUUGUUAAGUCAGUUGUGAAAGUUUGCGGCUAAACCGUAAAAUUGCAGUUGAAACUGGCAGUCUUGAGUACAGUAGAGGUGGGCGGAAUUCGUGGUGUAGCGGUGAAAUGCUUAGAUAUCACGAAGAACUCCGAUUGCGAAGGCAGUUCACUGGACUGCAACUGACACUGAGGCUCGAAAGUGUGGGUAUCAAACAGGAUUAGAUACCCCGGUAGUC
RNAcentral lists this ribosomal RNA (460 nucleotides) under uncultured bacterium. RNAcentral's name for it is "partial 16S ribosomal RNA". It matches the Rfam family "Bacterial small subunit ribosomal RNA", at positions 338 to 795 of the family's 1533-position model. The record is from RNAcentral.